CAGAUUGGGAUGUCCACAGUGCAAGUUGUUCUAAAUUGGACGGACAACUAGACUCCUUCAAGGCAUCUAGAGGAACACAAGUACGCCAUUCGGGGUUGAUUGGAGAAAGCUGUUCGAAAGAGGACAUUCUAUUAUAUCUUUGUACUCUCUGACAAAGGCCAUGCAGCCGAAACGCGUCAGGGUUUUUAAACUUUGUUACCAUUGAACAUGCCAUACAAAUAAAGGCAUUUAAUUCAUUA
This is a long non-coding RNA of Oncorhynchus gorbuscha (pink salmon), 239 nucleotides long. RefSeq lists it as uncharacterized. The transcript has 2 exons. The record is from RefSeq and is a predicted model, not a curated record. NCBI's taxonomy places the organism in Eukaryota, Metazoa, Chordata, Actinopteri, Salmoniformes, Salmonidae.